GCUAAACAUUAUUUAAUCUAUGUAAAGAAAACAUCAACUUUAUAUAUUAUAAAGCGUUCGAAUCCUUUUCUGUUUAUAAUAAUAUCAUAAUUAUGAAGUUAUUUUAUGUUUUGAUCUACUUUAUUUCUCUAUUUCUUGUUAUAAAUGUUCAAGCAUUUUUCGAUUGUGAGAAUCAUGAUGACUGUAAAAACAAAAUUAAGUAUGUGCUUCCUCGGAUUGCGGAAUGUCGCGAUUACAAAUGUAAUUGUUUUCCUUUAAAUCUUUCAAAAACUCUUUGGAGUGCAAGUACAAAGAGAGUGCACAAAAGUCUUGCUCAAACGAAUGAUUUCUUGCACUAGAAAAAGAUCAAUUAAAAAUUGUUUAUGAUAAAAUUAUCAUGGUAUGUGAUUUAAUAAGUUUGUUGACACCUAAUAAUUAGUUAUUUUUCCUUUCCUAUUUUUAAA
This is a long non-coding RNA of Medicago truncatula (barrel medic), 443 nucleotides long. RefSeq lists it as uncharacterized. The transcript has 2 exons. The record is from RefSeq and is a predicted model, not a curated record. NCBI's taxonomy places the organism in Eukaryota, Viridiplantae, Streptophyta, Magnoliopsida, Fabales, Fabaceae.